AUGUCUUCGAUCUCAGAAGAGAAAUCGAUCGUGCGGAACAUCCUUGCGAAGCUGCCGACGAGGGACGUCGCCCGCUGCCGCUGCGUCUGUCGACGGUGGCGCCGCAUAGUCACCGACCCCUCCUUCCGCGCCCUCCACGGCUCCGUCGGCGGUGGCGACGUGCAAGCACAGACUUUGCUCGUGUACGAGAUCCGCUUGAGUGCCACCGUUGACAUGCUUGUCCUCAACAGCCCGUCGUCGCGGAGGCUCAUGUGCCGCGUCACCGACCUGUUCACGGCCGCCGGGUACAGCCCGGCCAACGCCUGCAACGGCUUCCUCCUCUUCGCGCCGCGCAUCCACGACUGGCCCCUUUGCGUCUGCAACCCCGUCACCGGCGAGAAGCUGCUUCUCUCGGAGGCGCCCUCGGUCCAACACGAGGUACCCGGACCCGCUCCAAUGUCGAGCGGUCUCGGCACCGUCUCCGGCGCUCGUAGACGGCAAGAUCUACUUAACAUGUGGCGAGGGGAUAUUGGUGAUGGACAUGGCAACCGAGGCGCACUGCACCUACCCCCUCCCCGUGUACGAGGGGGAGAAGCUCGCCUUCGAGCUGCGCGGCCGGCUGUGUAUCGCGGUGCACGUCAUCGCCCAGCGCAAGCUCUACUUUUGGGUAUUGCAUCUCGACCAAGACAAGAAGGAUGGCACGGCGCCCUUGCUUGA
This 696-nucleotide ribosomal RNA is filed under the name Triticum aestivum (bread wheat). RNAcentral's name for it is "partial small subunit ribosomal RNA". Lineage: Eukaryota; Viridiplantae; Streptophyta; Magnoliopsida; Poales; Poaceae. The record is from RNAcentral.